UGUGAACUGCAGGACACAUGAACACCGACACGUUGAACGCAUAUUGCGCAUCGGACGUUUAAACCCGACCGAUGUACACAUUCUUGAGUGCCUACCAAAUCCUUGUUACACAAAUACAUAACUACAGGACGGGCGUGCUACACAGUCAAGUGAAACAUUCCGGGCGAGCAGCCSSCCACGGAAGUCACUGGACGUACACGCUGUCGGACUGUGCAUCUUGGCGUGCUUGGUUCCACACCCAGAGCGGGGUGAACCUCGGGCGCUGAAAAGGUAAGGCAGAGUACAAUCUUGUACACCAGGGUACAGCGUCAAGUCGCACGGGUCGAACUUCGGCUAUGGACGACCUGAGAACCCCGGCAGCCUACUAACACCAGGCUAGCCGAUCCGGGUCCAGGGGUUACGCAUCAUCCGGCCGAGUCGUGUAACACGUGCAACCCUUACGCAUGGACCCUACUUGCUUUCCUUUCGCAUAUGUAGGCCUCAAGUGAUGUGUGACAACCCCCUGAAUUUAAGCAUA
Molecule: ribosomal RNA, 517 nt
Filed under: Anopheles aconitus
Lineage: Eukaryota; Metazoa; Arthropoda; Insecta; Diptera; Culicidae
Description: eukaryotic LSU rRNA
Rfam family: 5.8S ribosomal RNA (bases 1-93)
Source: RNAcentral